RNAcentral lists this ribosomal RNA (214 nucleotides) under uncultured Paenibacillus sp. RNAcentral describes it as "partial 16S ribosomal RNA". It matches the Rfam family "Bacterial small subunit ribosomal RNA", at positions 1170 to 1382 of the family's 1533-position model. Lineage: Bacteria; Bacillati; Bacillota; Bacilli; Caryophanales; Paenibacillaceae. The record is from RNAcentral.
AAGGUGGGGAUGACGUCAAAUCAUCAUGCCCCUUAUGACCUGGGCUACACACGUGCUACAAUGGGCGGUACAAAGGGUCGCGAACCCGCGAGGGGGAGCCAAUCCCAAAAAAGCCGCUCUCAGUUCGGAUUGCAGGCUGCAACUCGCCUGCAUGAAGCCGGAAUCGCUAGUAAUCGCGGAUCAGCAUGCCGCGGUGAAUACGUUCCCGGGCCUU